This 240-nucleotide unclassified non-coding RNA is filed under the name soil metagenome. RNAcentral describes it as "partial contains 5.8S ribosomal RNA, internal transcribed spacer 2, and large subunit ribosomal RNA". The record is from RNAcentral.
AACGGUCUAUACCUGCGGUACCUGCGGAGGGAUCAUUAACAAAUUGUCCGCUAUAAUGGAUAAUUUUAUCCAUAUCCACCUUGUGUGAAUCAUUGACGUGUUUGUUGGCAGGUUACGGCUCUUUCGUAUUGGAAAAGCUGGUGGGUUUUAGCGCUGACGAUUUCAGUGCUAGCUCGGCCUGCCAAUUUUAUUUGUUUAACUUGUCUAAAUAUUAGUGGUCUGAAAUAUAUUAUAUUUAUU